This 423-nucleotide ribosomal RNA is filed under the name uncultured bacterium. RNAcentral's name for it is "bacterial SSU rRNA". It matches the Rfam family "Bacterial small subunit ribosomal RNA", at positions 355 to 774 of the family's 1533-position model. The record is from RNAcentral.
UGGGGAAUAUUGGACAAUGGGGGAAACCCUGAUCCAGCCAUGCCGCGUGUGUGAAGAAGGUCUUCGGAUUGUAAAGCACUUUAAGUUGGGAGGAAGGGGUGAAGUAACGACUCACCUUUGACGUUACCAACAGAAUAAGCACCGGCUAACUUCGUGCCAGCAGCCGCGGUAAUACGAAGGGUGCAAGCGUUAAUCGGAAUAACUGGGCGUAAAGCGCGCGUAGGUGGUUUGUCAAGUUGGAUGUGAAAUCCCCGGGCUCAACCUGGGAACUGCAUCCAAAACUGACUGACUAGAGUACGGUAGAGGUUAGUGGAAUUUCCUGUGUAGCGGUGAAAUGCGUAGAUAUAGGAAGGAACACCAGUGGCGAAGGCGACUAACUGGACUGAUACUGACACUGAGGUGCGAAAGCGUGGGGAGCAAACA